CAACAGGGAUUGCCUGUAACGGCGAGUGAAGCGGCAAAAGCUCAAAUUUGAAAUCUGGCACCUUCGGUGUCCGAGUUGUAAUUUGAAGAAGGUAACUUUGGAGUUGGCUCUUGUCUAUGUUCCUUGGAACAGGACGUCACAGAGGGUGAGAAUCCCGUGCGAUGAGAUGCCCAAUUCUAUGUAAAGUGCUUUCGAAGAGUCGAGUUGUUUGGGAAUGCAGCUCUAAGUGGGUGGUAAAUUCCAUCUAAAGCUAAAUAUUGGCGAGAGACCGAUAGCGAACAAGUACAGUGAUGGAAAGAUGAAAAGAACUUUGAAAAGAGAGUGAAAAAGUACGUGAAAUUGUUGAAAGGGAAGGGCUUGAGAUCAGACUUGGUAUUUUGCAAGCCUUACCUUCGUGGUGGGGUCCCCUGCAGUUUACUGGGCCAGCAUCGGUUUGGAUGGUAGGAUAAUGACUUGGGAAUGUGACUUUGCUUCGGUAAAGUGUUAUAGCCCUUGUUGAUACUGCCUGUCUAGACCGAGGACUGCGUCUUUGACUAGGAUGCUGGCAUAAUGAUCUUAAGUCGCCCGU
This 568-nucleotide ribosomal RNA is filed under the name Schwanniomyces polymorphus var. africanus. Its description in RNAcentral is "LSU rRNA". It matches the Rfam family "Eukaryotic large subunit ribosomal RNA", at positions 66 to 652 of the family's 3401-position model. The record is from RNAcentral. Lineage: Eukaryota; Fungi; Ascomycota; Pichiomycetes; Serinales; Debaryomycetaceae.